CAGUCGCCACGGGAAUACGAAGGGGGCUAGCGUUGCUCGGAUUUACUGGGCGUAAAGGGUGCGUAGGCGGACUGAUAAGUCAGGGGUGAAAUCCCAAGGCUCAACCUUGGAACUGCCUUUGAUACUGUUAGUCUUGAGCUCGAGAGAGGUGAGUGGAACUGCGAGUGUAGAGGUGAAAUUCGUAGAUAUUCGCAAGAGCACCAGUGGCGAAGGCGGCUCACUGGCUCGAAACUGACGCUGAGGCACGAAAGCGUGGGGAGCAAACAGGAUUAGAUACCCCAGUAGUCCCUGUCUCUUAUAC
This 301-nucleotide ribosomal RNA is filed under the name uncultured bacterium. RNAcentral describes it as "partial 16S ribosomal RNA". It matches the Rfam family "Bacterial small subunit ribosomal RNA", at positions 509 to 807 of the family's 1533-position model. The record is from RNAcentral.